RNAcentral lists this ribosomal RNA (422 nucleotides) under uncultured bacterium. Its description in RNAcentral is "bacterial SSU rRNA". It matches the Rfam family "Bacterial small subunit ribosomal RNA", at positions 355 to 774 of the family's 1533-position model. The record is from RNAcentral.
UGAGGAAUAUUGGUCAAUGGACGCGAGUCUGAACCAGCCAUGCCGCGUGAAGGAUGAAGGCGUUCUGCGUUGUAAACUUCUUUUGCGGGGGAAGAAACCUUGAUAUUCUUAUCAAGCCGACGGUACCCCGAGAAUAAGCACCGGCUAACUCCGUGCCAGCAGCCGCGGUAAUACGGAGGGUGCAAGCGUUAUCCGGAUUUACUGGGUUUAAAGGGUGUGUAGGCGGAUUAUUAAGUCAGUGGUGAAAUCUCUGGGCUUAACCCAGAAAUUGCCAUUGAUACUGUAGGGCUUGAGUACAGUUGCUGUGGGCGGAAUAUGACAUGUAGCGGUGAAAUGCUAAGAUAUAACAUAGAACACCAAUUGCGAAAGCAGCUUACUACGGAUUGAUUGACACUGAGGCAAGAAAGCGUGGUGAUCAAACA